GGGCGGGGCCUGCCGCCGCCACCGCCUCAGGGAAGAGGAAGGAGGCCGCGGCUUCGCGUCCCGCCUCUCGCCUGGCUGGCCGUGGGGGGCCUGGACGCAGUGGCCUCCCGAAUCUCCCAGGACCCUAAUAUCGCCCGAGGAUGCUGGGAGGAACGCUGAGCCGACCUCUCCGUUAGGCUGAAGAUUGCACAAACCAUGCUAAUGGCCAGCAUGGAUGGAGGGAGCGUGUGAGAUGUGUGGGGCAGCGUGCUGCAUCUCAGCCAACUCCAGGAGCCAGUUGAUGUGAUGGACUACCUUAAUUGAUUUUUGAAUGUUGAGCCAGCCUUAUGCAUGUGGGAUAAACCCCUGUUGAUCAUGGCUGGCUGGAGUGCAGUGGUGCAAUCAUGGCUCACUGCAACCUCAAAUUCCUGGGCUCAAGGGAUCCUCCUGCCUCAGCCUCCCAAGUAGCUAGGACUACAGGAAGCAUGCUCAUGGCAAUACCCGGAGUCUCCACUGCAAGACCAGAGUGACGGAGGCAGCAGAGCUCCUCAGCAGGCCAGGAGUCUCCAGAGGCACUGCCGAAUGUCUAAGAAGCAACCUCAUUGUAUUCCCAAGACCUGGGAAUCCAGGUCUCGCAGAUACGAUGAUACAAUCUAUAGCCAGGACAUCUCUUCAUGUGUAGUUUUCAAUGAAUACUAGGAUAAGCAACUAUCCCAGUCUUCCCAGGAUUGAGGGGCUUCUCCAGAUGCUGCACUUCUGGUGCUAAAAAUGAGAAACUGAAAUGAAUUAGUCACCCAAGGAAUGCUGACCCUGUGCUAUAUGAUCACAUUUACUCUUUAAAGCAAUGCUUUGAGAACAAUUGAGCUGCAUAGUCCCUGCAAUCUUAUAAAGGCAUUUGGCCUGGAAGAUGCUCUGCAGCCAUGUGCCAAGAAUAACGGCUAUAGGGACAAUGUUUCAUUAACCCCAAAGCAGCAACCUGAACCUCUUACUGUACAAUAUCUGCUCCGUUCAGAAUUAGCUCGACUUGAGUCACAGGAUGAAGCUUACCAAAAGGAAUUUCCACGUCCAAGGAAGGAACCAAGAUCACUGAGAGGUUAUAGUAUGAAAAGUGAAGAGAAAAAACCUAUUCUAAACAUUUUAUUAAUUGUCAAUAAUUAUUUUAAAAUAUUUAAUAUAGUCUCCUACCUGGUCCACUGGCAUCAAGCUGCCAAAUUUACACGGUCACUUUGGGAAGCCAGCUGGCAGGCAAACAUGGAAAGUGCUGGCUCCUAGCGUAGUGAGAAGACCACAGAUAGAUGGUAAUUUUCUUCUUUGUUUUAUUUUUCUUUUUCUUCUCUCCCUCUUUUUCUUCCCUCUUGCCUUUCCCUCCCAUUGCCCACUUUCUUUUUUUGGCUGCCGAAGAUUUAUUGCCUUUCAGUACUUAUAGAUGAUGUUUUCAUAAGUUCUAAUGAGGUCCCAGCAGUUUUUAACAAUAACAGGACAUUACUGUUCCUAAGAUAUAUUAUGUGUUUUCCCUCAUCUUUCUCCCUUGAAUGAAAUGCUUAGAAGUAGGCUAACCCCCAAUUCCCUUCCCUUUACUAUGAUAAAUGGCUCCAUUACUUAAUAGGGCUAAAUACUCUGCUGUGACUUUUAUACUGCUGAUUUGAAUAAAAUCUUACGAAAAGCU
Molecule: long non-coding RNA, 1645 nt
Filed under: Homo sapiens (human)
Lineage: Eukaryota; Metazoa; Chordata; Mammalia; Primates; Hominidae
Description: PREDICTED lncRNA (TCONS_00222787)
Source: RNAcentral